Molecule: long non-coding RNA, 4378 nt
Organism: Triticum dicoccoides
Lineage: Eukaryota; Viridiplantae; Streptophyta; Magnoliopsida; Poales; Poaceae
Exons: 4
Source: RefSeq, a predicted model, not a curated record
GAGGGAGUGAAACCCUAGGUAUUCGCAUCGCACGAACGACCCGAUCCCCUCUCCCUUAGCCGCCAUCUGUUUUCUUCCCUCGGCACGCGCGUUCAUCCCUCCUCCCUCUCCUCCGCCGCCAUUGUUCCCUCUAGUGCUCUCACCCGCUACCACUCCUUGUUGCAGCUGUGCCAGGGGAUAACCACGGUCGCGCUGCCGGCAGGAGCACGAUAUCCGCGGCGUUAUACCGCUGCCUCCUGUCGGAGGAAGCAACAGGAGAGACAGGAUAUAAGAGGGGGAGAGAAGAAAGGAGAGGGGGAGAAAGAGAGAUGAAAGAGGAGAGGGAAGUGUGGCGGCUGACGGGAGAGGGUCACCGACCGGCGUUGUCAGCCUACGCCGGUGAGGUCGGAUGCAACCUGGCGGUUGGCGGCGGCUCGAUCCGCUCCUGGAUCGGGAGCUGCGAGGAGGCUGGUGCUUGGGCGCGAGGCACGGGAGUCUGCACUCCACCUCAUCCUCGUUGUGCGGAUGGCAGCAUCAGCAGGUGGGAGACGGACAGUGGCAUCAGCUAGAGGCCUCAGCAGGUGGCCGAUGACACCAACAGCUGGUGCUAUACCCAUGGAUUCCGGCACAGCUCGAAACACUCAGGACGAAUUAAUCCAGGGUGGAGUAGCAGAUGCGUGUAGGUUUACCUAGAGCUUGAGUAGAUACACAUUAAUCCAGGGUGGAGUAGCAGAUGUGUGCAGGUUUACCUAGGGCUUGAGUAUAUACACACAUUCGGUUCAUACUUAAUGUACACCUAAAGGCGUUUCAACCUUUUCCAGGCAUGCUACAUGAAAGGUACGAACAUACAACAUGAGCUGCCAUGGAAGAUGUAUUUCCAUCUAGCUCCUUUACUGGUUUGUAUCAAGUGAUGAAGAUGAUAUACCUUUAUUUGAUUGACACGAGUACUGACCAGUGUUGGAUUUCAGCUUUAUAAACUUGGCUUUUUAGUGGUUAAUUUUGCUACAUCGCGUGCUUAUUUUCCAUGCUUCUGUAUUCGGAAGACUGAAUAAAAGGAACAUGAUGAAAUACAAGUAGCCAAGUGCGUGGAAAUUGGCCUUCCAGAACUCAUCCUAAUGGUCGCGUUUUCUCAGGUAUUGUUUAAAUGGUCAUGAAUGAGGUGAUGUUGUACUUAUCAUGUUUGUUUCCUGGACAAUAUUUGCAUCAUGUUUUUCAUUCUAGAAAGGGUGUCUUUCGCCGGUUUUCUAUUCUUUUCACUGUUUCAAUCGUGUGACUCUACACAUGUAUCCUCACAAUUAGUGGAACCUAAAAGAAUGAAGCGGCGGCUCGAUCUGAGCUGCUAUAUCUGAUUGUAUUUUAGUAAGACCCUGCAAUUUUAUCGACCAUGUAAAUUGAUUGCUUGAGGAAUGUGAGAUUGUGUCCUUAGUUUGUACAUCCAUGUUCUUGCACAGUCUUCAGAUUUCGGUCUUCUAUGCAUGUCUUCUCGAUUUUUCGAAAGCGAGACAUUUAUUUAUGCAGGUUUCUCCAUGCCAUCGGCAGCAGCCGUAAGCAUAGGGGCAGCGGUCAUGGUCGCCCGAGGAGCACAACUUCAUGGGGGCUGGUCCUGCUGCCGCCAAAGCAUAGUGGAGGAGGUCGAUGCAGGGUUGAGGAGGGGCAUGGGCUAAGAGUGGUGGAAGAAAGGAAGGAUGAUGUUUUGGGUGUGUACACAUGUAUAGCACUAGCAUUUUCAGAUGAUUGUGAAGCUUAUGGAAGAGGCAUAUCUGAAUGCUUGUUUUGUGCCUUUCUCGCUCUAAACAUGGUAACCCCUAUUCUUACAUACAAGAAGGUGCUCUUGAUUACUUCUUGGAAAAUGAUCGAUUGAUUAUUUUCUUAUGACACAUAUUAUAGUUUACAUGGAACUAAAAAGAACAUUGGUUUUCUGAGAAAAUAAGAUUAGGGAAGUCACACAUGUUGUUUAAAUCAAGUAAGGUAGCAUAUAUGUAGCUUUACUUGCUAUUUUUUCAUUCCUAGAGGUAAAGCAGAAACCUGAUACCAUGUACAGCUGUGCAAGUGUCUUGCCUGAUGGUCUUCAAAAAUUUCUUAUAGACAAAUGGCUAGACUGAAUUUUUCAACAUAAUAAGUACUUGUUUCCUACAGUUGGUAGCAUAUAUAUAGCUUACGGAGAUCUCAUGUAAUAGACAUCUAAGUUGAAACUUCGGGAUCAUCUUAUAGCCUCAUGUUCACUUCUCACCUUUUCAUUUCGUCUCAUUCCAUUAUCGAAGCGUAAGUUCAGUUUCAUUUGCUCAAGUUCAAGCUGUGGUGUACCUCUGUAUGGGUAUACUAUUGAGAGGGUUUAGAUCACAGAACUAAACAAGUUGUGGGUCAGUGGAUAACCAAAUGCCACUGACCAUACAACUCUUUGCCACUCGGAUACUAGUAGCAAAUCACAAUGAGCAGGGAGGAAACAACACUGGUUUUUAGUAGAUAUAUGUCUCUGAUUUACUUGCAAUGUUGUUCCUUACAAAACUGUUCUGGCAAUCCUGAAAUGAUUUCUCAAAAUAUGGGAAAAUUUACAUUCUAAAAACUGUAUGCACAUAGAGUGAAGCAUAUAUAUAAUGCUACUAUAACAUAGGCCAUGUGUCUAUAGGGUGGGUCUAUUCUGAUAUCACCCCUUAAGAGCUUAUUCUGCUAACAGUAAAUCUUAUUCUGCUAACACCCCGUGCCCCGAACCGAACCAACAGGCUGAUGCUACUAAACCGCAUUCACCGGGUGAGGAAAAAAAGACGCCACCCACUUAUCCUCCUCGUCCCCACGCGCAUUCGCCAAUCCCUCCCACCUUCUUCCUCCCAUACUCGUGCCCGGUUGACCAACUUCCCACAUCGGAGCCCCACCAGAGCAACCCCGCCACCGGCCAUUGUGCCCCAGCCCACCUUGCACUGCCACCGCCCCUCCCGCGUCGCCCAACUCUCCCCUAUGCUGGAUCCAUGGUGGCCACGGCCCUCCCGCGCCGCCCAACUCUCCCCUACGCCAGAUCCAUGGCGGCCAAGGCCCUCCCGCACCGCCCAUCCUUUCCAACACCCGAUCCAUGCAGGCCACAAACCCUCCCGCACACUACCGGCGAUGGAUCCGGGCCCUACUGCCAGGCCGCGCAAGGACGACGAUGAAUCGGACCUCCACUGCCACCCCGCGAAUGGCCGGUGACGGAUUUGGGCACCAUCUUCACCCGUCGCGCCGCCCCUCGCCGGUGACAGAGCAAGCGGCUCCACUUCGGUAUAGGCUCUGGCGCCGCCCUUCCCCAACCGAAUCAAGCUGCUACUGCUGCCUCUCAUCUUCUUCGGGCUUGCCUCCCAUGGCCUUCUCACGUGCUUUGUCUCCUCGCUGGCGGCCGCACCCAUCACCUCCCCGUGGCCCCUCUUUGGUUCUCCUCAUGCUCACAAGCCGGCUCAGGCAGCACGCUCCAGCCAUGGUGAGGCUCCCGCGUGUGCCUAUGUAGUGCAUGGUCCCUCGAGGUGCAGUGCGACAGGUGUGCGUGCAGCCCAACUCAAAGCAACAGUGCAGUAAUGGGGAUGGAAGCAAAGGUGGCGGUGCACCGCUGAGCUCAAGGUCGCUGACGGCCUCCCUCUGCCCAUGCGCGUGUGAUGCAGUGUGGAACCAAGGCCAGAUCUUCACCACCCCCCUUCAUCAUAUUCCGGUGAGGUACCGGCCCAUACAUGAUAUGUAGUACUGACAGUGAUGCCGUGCAGUUCGCCGUGCGAAUCCCGUCCAGGUUGGUGUUGUUCAGAAGCAUUUCUACUGCUUUCAGAAGAAAAAAAUGAUGGGUUGUUUUCAAUGCAGUGCAGUUCAGACGCUCAUUGAGGACUUGCAGCUCGCCCGCGAGUGGCUCGUGGUCUGCGCAGCUCGGGUGUGCAGACAACUAUUGGGUCCUCCACCGCUGCAAGUCCUCCACCUGUUGUGCCGUCCUCCACGGUACAGUCCACACAGCCAGAGUAUGCCACAGCCCACAACUCCUGCGGGGGGUAAAAGAGUGUUUAUAGGAUUGGCCACAUGUACUUCCGGCAAGGCGGCAACUCACCCAUGCAAGUUUUUUUCUUCUGUGUCUUUGUACAGCUCGACGGUGUGGCAGUGUGCACCUCUAGUGGUUCUUCUCGUGUGUGUGUGUGUGUGUGUGUGUGUGUGCAGUCCGGCGUUGGUCAUCUAUGUUGCCCUGAUUUGGUCGCUGUCGACUAUGUAUGGCUAUAUAGUGCGGUCAAGCGAUGUGUGCAGUUUAGCCUCGCGAGUGUUGCAGUUUCGUUCACCAUGGUCAUUUGGUUUGUGAUGUUCGCCGGGUCUUGCUAUUUUUUUAUUCUUUUUGAUUGAUGGCUUGUUAUGUAAAACUUGCAAAGUUUGUUUCGUAAUUGUUGGAAAACACAAUAAAGUUCUU